Molecule: ribosomal RNA, 418 nt
Filed under: bacterium enrichment culture clone ALO1_GLFRUDD03HE7RJ
Lineage: Bacteria
Description: bacterial SSU rRNA
Rfam family: Bacterial small subunit ribosomal RNA
Source: RNAcentral
GAGUUUGAUCAUGGCUCAGAUUGAACGCUGGCGGCAUGCCUUACACAUGCAAGUCGAACGGCAGCACGGGAGCUUGCUCCUGGUGGCGAGUGGCGAACGGGUGAGUAAUGCAUCGGAACGUAUCCUGGAGUGGGGGAUAACGUAGCGAAAGUUACGCUAAUACCGCAUAUUCUGUGAGCAGGAAAGCGGGGGACCUUCGGGCCUCGCGCUCUUGGAGCGGCCGAUGUCGGAUUAGCUAGUUGGUGAGGUAAAGGCUCACCAAGGCGACGAUCCGUAGCAGGUCUGAGAGGAUGAUCUGCCACACUGGAACUGAGACACGGUCCAGACUCCUACGGGAGGCAGCAGUGGGGAAUUUUGGACAAGUGGGGGCAACCCUGAUCCAGCCAUGCCGCGUGAGUGAAGAAGGCCUCGGUGUAAG